This 441-nucleotide ribosomal RNA is filed under the name uncultured bacterium. RNAcentral's name for it is "partial 16S ribosomal RNA". It matches the Rfam family "Bacterial small subunit ribosomal RNA", at positions 338 to 795 of the family's 1533-position model. The record is from RNAcentral.
CCUACGGGAGGCAGCAGUGGGGGAUAUUGCACAAUGGGGGGAACCCUGAUGCAGCGACGCCGCGUGGGUGAAGGAGUGCUUCGGCAUGUAAAGCCCUAUCGGCAGGGAAGAAGCAAGACGGUACCUGACUAAGAAGCCCCGGCUAACUACGUGCCAGCAGCCGCGGUAAUACGUAGGGGGCGAGCGUUAUCCGGAUUCACUGGGUGUAAAGCGCUCGUAGGCGGUAUGUCAAGUCAAGGGUGAAAUCCCCGCGUGCAACGUGGGAACUGCCUUUGAAACUGGCAAACUGGAGUGUGUGAGAGGAUAGUGGAAUUCCAGGUGUAGGAGUGAAAUCCGUAGAUAUCUGGAGGAACAUCAGUGGCGAAGGCGACUAUCUGGCACAUAACGGACGCUGAGGAGCGAAAGCGUGGGUAGCAAACAGGAUUAGAUACCCUUGUAGUC